AGGACGAACGCUGGCGGCGUGCUUAACACAUGCAAGUCGAGCGAGGCCCUUCCUUCGGGAAGGUGCCCUAGCGGCGAACGGGUGAGUAACACGUGGGCAACCUGCCCCUAGCACUGGGAUAACUCCGGGAAACCGGGGCUAAUACCGGAUAUGACCUUUGAGGGCAUCCUCGAAGGUGUAAAGGAUUCUGGCUAGGGAUGGGCCCGCGGCCUAUCAGCUUGUUGGUGGGGUAAUGGCCUACCAAGGCGACGACGGGU
RNAcentral lists this ribosomal RNA (257 nucleotides) under uncultured bacterium. RNAcentral describes it as "partial small subunit ribosomal RNA". It matches the Rfam family "Bacterial small subunit ribosomal RNA", at positions 26 to 284 of the family's 1533-position model. The record is from RNAcentral.